This 1750-nucleotide long non-coding RNA is filed under the name Bemisia tabaci. Its description in RNAcentral is "lncRNA ENSSWEETPG009835". The record is from RNAcentral. Lineage: Eukaryota; Metazoa; Arthropoda; Insecta; Hemiptera; Aleyrodidae.
GAGACAGAAGGAUUAUAAACGACCUCGAAAAUGCUCAAAAUAAACUUAAAAAAUAGGAGGAAAAACAAAUGCUUUUUACUUUCUUGUCAUGUGUUGAAAGUCUCUAAUGCGCGUCGUCAUCUUUUGAUGAUAUUCUAGAGGUUUUCUUGCCUCGAUAACUUAAAAUUUAACCUCUCAAUUACCUUACAGAAUAAUGUUUUCACAGAAGUUUCGUGAAAUCAAUGGCCAAAGUGCGAAAUCACGUAUCCUCGUUGGACGGACGUUGCAAGACUUAAUGUGGUCAUUAAUUUUUUUUUGUGUGUGGAAAAGUAGAGAACGUAAUCUCUUGAAGACUUCCUCGGGGUUUCGUAUUUGUCAGUAAUACUCUGUGUAGAUUUCAAGUCAUGAAGUUGGCGUGCUUCUCUCCGAAAAAAUAAAAUAGAGGCGGAAAUUUUUAAACAUCGCAAUGGAGAUACGUGGUUUUACCGUUUAGCCAUCGAAAUACCGUUACUUAAUUGUUUCACUUUAAGAAAUUGAAAAAUAAAAAUUGUCGAAUUAGCAGACUCUCAAUCGGAGGUACCUGUGCAUUUUACGAAACUUUCAUCAAUAUAUUUUUAUACAAAAUAUUUGUUAGUUUUAUUUUAGAUGAUAUUUUAGUUUUGCUGAUAAAGUAAGGGAAAUCUUGAUAGAAACAUAUUUAUCAUAUUCUGAAGUUGGUUGCAUAACUUGCAUAUAAUUGAGUCAUUCCAAGUGUUUUUCACUCCUUAAAUGUAGGUACCUAACAAAAGAUAAUUUUGUAAAAAUUUUCAUUUUACUAAACAUUAUAUUCAAUUUUUUUCCAGUUGAAAUUUCGGAUCGAAAAAUGCGGAGACAAGGGAAACCCAAAUUCGUGCGAAUAUUACACUACUUGGAAGUGGGAUGAAUGCAUGUACUACACUGAAUGUGCUGCCAUUUACGAGGAGUUUUUUAAUGCUCACGUGCCAAACUUAACUCCUGCCCUUUACAAAAAGAGUGUCUACGAGAUAAGGAAUUAUACGGUGCGAUCGGAUACGAUGUUGAAUUUGUUUCAAACUGGUAACGGCAACUCUCUCUGGAAAUUCCGUGUUGUGACAGCCAAAGAUAAACGGAGGAAAUUAUCUCUUGUGUGAAAUGCAGUUUUCGGUUUGCGACGAUCAGGAAAAAACUUUGACUGUUACAAUUCAAGCAAAUCCUCAUCUUUUUGAGUAGCUUAUAUAAGCUAAAAGAAAAAAAAUCACCUACAAUCUUUAGUUGUUGUUAACAUUCGUUAAAAUUCCCCACAUUAGCUUGAUUUUGAUAAAACGCUAAAAUUGUGCUUGGUCCCGAGUCCCUUUUGUCCCCCUGCCUCCCCCCCCCCCGACGGCCCUUGUGCAGGGGCCUCCAAGUUUUGACGCAUCUAUACUUUUACUUUUAGGAGAGCACUCGUUCAAGAGCGGAAGAAAUCCUACGUACUUUCAAGAGAUAUGGUUUUCUUAAAAUUAUAUAAUAAAAAAUAAUAACUAAAAAAAGUAAGUAAUGAAAAUAAAUCAUAAAGAAAAUUCAUAGGAAAUUCGCAUCGGCAAAAAUCAAAGCGAAUAUUUUUCGACCUCCGCCAUUGAUAUGGGCAUAACUGGACUUCAUUUUGCAAUUAGGACUAUACAGUUUCUGGCUCAUCUAUAAAACACGUUUAUGCAUAGGGAACCCAAGGACCAUGCGUUGUUUUUAAACUGAGAAAGGAAUUGUAGUUCCAAAUUGCAAAAAUUUGCUCCUUUUA